Molecule: long non-coding RNA, 3674 nt
Organism: Pipistrellus kuhlii (Kuhl's pipistrelle)
Lineage: Eukaryota; Metazoa; Chordata; Mammalia; Chiroptera; Vespertilionidae
Exons: 4
Source: RefSeq, a predicted model, not a curated record
UAUAAGCUUAUAAGUAGGGUUAAUUCAAUAAAUCCCAGUCCCAACAAAGGAGAAGCACUUUACUGGGUUCCCUCUCUGGAGGUAUUCAAAGGGGAAUGGGAUAAACCUCUUGAUAUGAAUACCGUAUAAACAUAGCAAAAAAUAAAGCUCCAGAUUAGUUUUCCUUGGAUUUUCAAUGUCAUUCAAAUUGCAUGAAUUCUAUUAUUACUUUUAGGAAACACUAUAUAUAGACUUGGCUGCAAAAUACCAGAUUUUUAGCACCCAAGAAGUCAAGAUUUGAAUCUCUAAACUCUGCUUUGACAAUCUUCUUCCUGCUCUAUUAUAAGUAUCUCCAACUUGUCUUAUUGGAAAUUCAUGGACAUAAGUUUUAUUAGCAUUAAUGAGACUUUAGUAUCUAAUGUGGUAGUAGUCAUAAUCAUAACAUUUUUCUCUCAUUGCUGAAGGCCUCUGAUAGUAUUUUGAAAAUGUGUAUAAAAAUCUACUCUGGCAAUUUAAAUAAGUGGUGUGAUUCAGGUUUGGAUCACGUGAUAACUGAUUUUUACUGACCAUAAACAAAGCUUUACUAUCUUCCUUUGUCUUUUCUAUUGCAAAUGCUUUGUGCAGCAUACACAUUUGUCCACUGGGUGGCAAUAUGUACUCAAGAAUGUUCACUGUUCCUAGUUUAUCAAUCUAGUUGAAUCCAACAUGUCAAGCUCCUUUUUGCAUCAGGAAAUAGCCAUUGUAUCAAAUCUGAAGAAACAGUAUCAUCUGAAUUCAAGCUGCUACCUAGCAGUAACUAAGGAGAUUUUGAUAAUAUUAAUACUUCCUAAACUUAACUCAGCCACACUCUUCUCUCAACAUGUUCACACAUUUGCAAAAUAGAUAUCCCUCCUGGUCUUCUUAUUCCUUGCCCCCUUUAUAGUUGUUCAUACCCUACUUCUUAAACGUAUGCCCUUUUAAAAUUUCCCUAAACUAUUUUCCAACUCCAAUACUCUUAGUGCCCUAUCUCUUAUUUCAGUGGUUCUUGCCUUACAAUGAACUAUCCCUUUUUUUUUCUUUUCAUUUUGUUUCUUGAUUUCACGCCUCCACAGUGAAAUCAAGAGACAUACCAUUAAGCUCUUGUGUAAUGACAUAUGCAUCCCCUCUGAUUUGGUCCCACAUCCUAGAGAAGCAGAGUAAGUCUUGGAUAGUCACAUAAUCUUGGGAAGUCAUGUAGUUCUUUUCACUUUAAUUCUGUCCAAAAUGCAGAAUACAACCAAUUAACUAGCUCUAUGUAAGAUUUAUCUUCAGUUAAGAGAGGGAAAAAAUUCCAAGAAAUGAAAUUGCAUAUUACAUAUGAUUACAACAUAAGAAAACCCACAGAAAUAUAUACAUAUUUAAAAAAUUGACAAUAAUAAUAGUAGCUGUGUUGGAUGAUGAAAUUAUGAAAGCUUGCUUAUAUUUCUUCUUUUGGCUUUUUCUAUAUUUUUCCUAUAUUUUAUUUCAUAAGAAAUAUAUUUUUCAAGUGAAAAAGUAUAACUGCAAAAACAUCUUUUACCUUUCUCCUUCCUUGAUUGAAAAAAAAAUUCCUGUAGCUUUAAUAUAUCCUUUUAUUUAAUUUUCCAAGAAGUACUUAAUAAUACUUUGACAUUUUCUUGAAUCUCCACAUGGUGCUUAGUGUGAUGGGAAGAUUGGCUUAUGCUCUUUUUCUUUUUCUUUUUUUAAGAAUAGCUUUUGGAUUUAUAGAGAAUUGAAAAUAUCCCAUACCCAGUUUUCCCUAUUACUAACAUCUUAUGUUAAUUUGGUACACUUGUCACUGUUAAUAAGCCAAUAUUGUUACAAUGAACUAAAGUCCAGGCUUUUUUCAGAUUCCCUAUGUUUUCACCUAAUGUCCUUUUUCUGUUCCAGGACCCCUUCCAGAAUACCACUUUACAUUUAGUCACUGUGUCUCCUUUUGGUUGUGAUGGUUUCUCAGACUUUCCUGAUUUUCCGUGACUUUAGCAGCUUUGAGGAAUAUUAGUCAGGUAUUUGGUAAAAUGUCCCUCAAGUGGGAUUUCUCAGAUGUCUUACUAAUGAUUAGGCUUGGAUUAUGGAUUUGGGGAGGAAGACCACAGAAACAAAGUCAUAGCAAAGGUAAGUACUGUCAGUAUGAUUUAGUGCUGUUGGCCAUCUGGCUAAAGCAGCAUUUGCCAGGUUUCUCCACUGUGACACUGCUCUUUCCUCCCCUUCCAUGCUUUCCUCCUGGGUGAUGCCUGCACAGCCACCAAUUAACUUUGCUCCACCUCCGGAGGGCAGAGUAUGUACAGAAAUUACUUGAAAUAUUUCUGCACAGAGACUUGUGGGUGGAAAAACCUAUUCGCCCUCUUAUUUCAGAUCAGAAAUAGCAGCAAUCAGAGAUGAUGACAAGGCUCUGUAAAUUCUGGGUGGAAGAAAGAUCUUCAUUCAUAUGGUGUGCCCCAUGGGACAUUCUGCCUUCCAGCUGACAGCAUCGUCUGUUUUUUUUUUUAAAAAAAAAAACCCCACCCAAAAACCUUGUGUUUUCAAUCAAGACUGAAGAUGAGAAAUUUUCCUGUUGGGGUGAAAGUUGUAACAUGCAUGGCCUGUCAGAUUUGCAUUCUUUGAUAUGAUGUCCAUGUCCAGACCAUGGAUUCUUGAAGUGGCAUUCAAACUUUACUCCAAGAUGGUGGAGAAAAGAAAUCAGGAGACCUAAAUGGAAUAUAUGCAACAAACCAGAUCAGGGGCUGAUAGUCAGAGAUGGAAAUUCUGCUACUGAGACGAGGAAGCCAGGAGGCAGAAACCGGAAAGGAACCAGAGCCAAAAGUCACAGUUAGCAAAGCUCAGGGCCAAUGCCCAAGACAAGAACCAGAGGAGCAAUUAACUGGGAGCAAGAAUGUCUAGAGUCAGCAUUCAGAAACUGCCCCCAUGACAUUCUUUCCUCACCUUGGACAGGGCAACUCCUUUGGAAAGCACCCACCACAUCUGGGCUUUGGAAGUGCAAUUAAUCUUGGAGUCAUUAGUCUUACACUAUGAGGAGAAAGAAGAGAGACAAACUCUUCACACCCUAGCCUCUGGAGUCUUAAAACUCACUGAGUUAGUAUUACUGAGGCAGGGCCUGGACGAGUGUGGGCAAGUGAGGUGCCUGGGAGGCCCACAUAAGGAGGCAUUCACACUUAGGAUCAGACAGAUGCAGGUUGUUGAGGCUCUGGGAUGGGAAGACUGAGCCCCACCAGAACUGACUGAUAUCUGAUGGUCUCUGUUUCCCUUUGACAUUAGGCCACAAGUCCACUCUGAAUCAGUCUGUGGAGUUCAUGGCAUUUAUUGAAUUAAAAUACCUGAUUAACAUUUGCUGCUCCCUGGCAUUUAAUGAUGGAUAAAAAUAAAAUCCUAAAUUAAUGCAACAGAGGAUUUUUAAUUUGCACCAUGGUAAUGGCAUUUUCCCCUUUCUCCUUUUGCUGACCAAGAAGUUCCAAAUACCGUUCAAGAAUUUAUUUGUUUCAAAAAGAGCAGAGAGGAAGUUACUGAGAGACCCCAGCAAAUGCUGAAUGAGUAGAUAAUGAAUUAGAACUGAGGACAAGGAGAAUAGGACUCACAUAAACUCUAUGAAAACACCCAGUUCUUUUAUUUUAGUUUCACUAGGUGGUUGAAGUAACAAGCUUGUUUUACUUUAUAGACUUUUUAAAACAUCAUUUUACAGAAAGUAUAAGAGGUAGUUGUGU